AUGCAAAGAACUUUGAAAAGAGAGUUAAAGAGUACCUGAAAUUGCUGAAAGGGAAGCGAAGGAAACCAGUGUCAGAUAUGCCUGUAUUUCCUCUAUCUGUCAAGAGAGAGGCGCUGUGGGUAUGUUUGGGCCAGCAUCUGUUUGAUUCGAAUCAAAUUGCUUUUGGGGAGGUAGGAUCUUCGGAUCUGAAGACCCAUUUGUGUUGUUUUGGAUUGGACAGAGGUAGUCUUAUAGCUCGUGAUGCUGGCGAAAUGGUUUUCUUUACCCCGUCUUGAAACACGGACCAAGGAGUCUAACAUAUGUGCGAGUAUAGGAGUGCCAAACUCCCAUGCGUAAUGAAAGUAACAGUGGUAGGACCCUCUGGGGCACUAUCCGCCGGCCACAAUCCUUCGGGAGAAAGGUCUGAGUGUGAGCAUACAUGUUGGGACCCGAAAGAUGGUGAACUAUGCCUGAAUAGGGCGAAGCCAGGGGAAACUCUGGUGGAGGCUCGUAGCGAUUCUGACGUGCAAAUCGAUCGUCAAAUUUGGGUAUAGGGGCGAAAGACUAAUCGAACCAUCUAGUAGCUGGUUCCCUCCGAAAUUUCCCUCAGGAUAGCUGCAAUCGAAUCAGUUUUGUUA
This 617-nucleotide ribosomal RNA is filed under the name Chaetoceros sp. 14BOF. RNAcentral describes it as "eukaryotic LSU rRNA". It matches the Rfam family "Eukaryotic large subunit ribosomal RNA", at positions 364 to 1006 of the family's 3401-position model. The record is from RNAcentral. Lineage: Eukaryota; Bacillariophyta; Thalassiosirophyceae; Chaetocerotales; Chaetocerotaceae.